RNAcentral lists this ribosomal RNA (429 nucleotides) under Brachythemis leucosticta. Its description in RNAcentral is "partial 12S ribosomal RNA". The record is from RNAcentral. Lineage: Eukaryota; Metazoa; Arthropoda; Insecta; Odonata; Libellulidae.
AAAUGUAAUUUUUUACCCAGGGUAGUAAAAGUUAUGUUCUUGAAACCCAAAGAAUUUGGCGGUAUUUUAUUCUUUUUAGAGGACCCUGUCCUGUAAUUGAUAGUCCACCGAGAGAAUUACUUAUUUUUGCUUUCAGUUUGUAUACUCCGUCAUAAGAUUAUCUUUUUCAGAGAUAAUAUUCUUUUUAUACAAAAUUUAAUAUGUCAGGUCAAGGUGCAAUUUAUGAAUAAGUAGAGAUGGGUUACAAUAAAAUUAUUUAAAUGGAAUAUUAUUGUUAUUUUUAAUAUGAAGGUGGAUUUAAAAGUAAAAUUGUUUUCUUAAUAACUUGAUUUUAGCUCUAAAAUAUGCACACAUCGCCCGUCACUCUUAUUUUAAAAUAAGAUAAGUCGUAACAUAGUAGAGGUACCGGAAGGUGUUUCUAGAAAGUAA